RNAcentral lists this ribosomal RNA (460 nucleotides) under uncultured bacterium. RNAcentral describes it as "partial 16S ribosomal RNA". It matches the Rfam family "Bacterial small subunit ribosomal RNA", at positions 338 to 795 of the family's 1533-position model. The record is from RNAcentral.
CCUACGUGAGGCAGCAGUGAGGAAUAUUGGUCAAUGGACGCAAGUCUGAACCAGCCAUGCCGCGUGCAGGAAGACGGCUCUAUGAGUUGUAAACUGCUUUUGUACGAGGGUAAACGCAGAUACGCAUAUCUAUCUGAAAGUAUCGUACGACUAAGGAUCGGCUAACUCCGUGCCAGCAGCCGCGGUAAUACGGAGGAUUCAAGCGUUAUCCGGAUUUAUUGGGUUUAAAGGGUGCGUAGGCGGUCGGAUAAGUUAGAGGUGAAAUCCCGAGGCUCAACUUCGGAAUUGCCUCUGAUACUGUUCGGCUAGAGAGUAGUUGCGGUAGGCGGAAUGUAUGGUGUAGCGGUGAAAUGCUUAGAGAUCAUACAGAACACCGAUUGCGAAGGCAGCUUACCAAGCUACUACUGACGUUGAGGCACGAAAGCGUGGGGAGCAAACAGGAUUAGAUACCCGAGUAGUC